UGCCGAGGCCCCUCCCGCUCCGUGUCCCCGUGCCCGCUGUCCCCCGUGGCGGCUUCCGGGAAUUGUGUGUGCGUGUGUGUAUUUAUUGAGCAGGCCUGCCCUGGGUCUGUGCCCUCGUGUCUUCUCACUGCCUCUGGGGUGUGGGGUUCGCAGCACUCCCCUGUGCCCUGCUGUGGUGGGACACCCCCGUCCUCCACCCCCGGCCCCUUCUCCCUCCUGAGCGUCCAUUCCCCCGGAGAAGGUCCUCAGGGGAGGAGACGGAAGGUAAGAAUCCCCGGGAACCUCUUGGGCCGAGGGAUCAUGCUGUUCCUUACAUGCAUGUCUUUCUGGCUGCUAUCCGGGUUGGAAAUGGCAAGUAAUCACGGUGGUUUGGGCAAGUGGUUCAUCAGCUUCCAUCCCUGUAAAACCCACCUGCAUCCAUUAAAGGAUUGUUAACAUCUUA
Long non-coding RNA from Pipistrellus kuhlii (Kuhl's pipistrelle), 442 nucleotides. RefSeq lists it as uncharacterized. The transcript is spliced from 3 exons. The record is from RefSeq and is a predicted model, not a curated record. Lineage: Eukaryota; Metazoa; Chordata; Mammalia; Chiroptera; Vespertilionidae.